RNAcentral lists this ribosomal RNA (253 nucleotides) under uncultured bacterium. Its description in RNAcentral is "partial 16S ribosomal RNA". It matches the Rfam family "Bacterial small subunit ribosomal RNA", at positions 524 to 776 of the family's 1533-position model. The record is from RNAcentral.
UACGUAGGUGACCAGCGUUGUCCGGAUUUACUGGGCGUAAAGAGCGCGCAGGCGGUCGUUCAAGUCGAGUGUGAAAGCCCCCGGCUCAACUGGGGAGGGUCAUUCGAUACUGAUCGACUUGAAGGCAGGAGAGGGAAGUGGAAUUCCCGGUGUAGAGGUGAAAUUCGUAGAUAUCGGGAAGAACACCCGUGGCGAAGGCGGCUUUCUGGGACGGUACUGACGCUGAGACGCGAAAGCGUGGGGAGCGAACAGG